CUGAUAAUUAUUAAAGGGCUGCAGUAUUUUGACUGUACAAAGGUAGCAUAAUCAUUAGUCUCUUAAUUGGUGACUUGUAUGAAAGAUUGGAUGAAAUAUAUACUGUCUCUGAUUUAUAUAAAGAAUUUAAUUUUUUAAUUAAAAAGUUAAAAUAAAUUUAAAAGACGAGAAGACCCUAUAGAGUUUUAUAUUUAAAUUUAUUGAAAUUAUAUUUAAUUUAAUAAUUAAAAUAAUUUAAAAUAUUUUAUUGGGGUGAUAAAAAAAUUAAAUUAACUUUUUUUAUUAUAAAUUUCAUCGAUAAGUGAGUAAAUGAUCCAAAAAUUUUGAUUAUAAGAAAAAAUUACCUUAGGGAUAACAGCGUAAUUUUUUUUAUUAGUUCAUAUAAUAAGAAGAGUUUGCGACCUCGAUGUUGGAUUAAGAUAAAAUUUAUAUGCAAAAGUAUAAAAUUUUGAUCUGUUCGAUC
Molecule: ribosomal RNA, 463 nt
Filed under: Epiparbattia oligotricha
Lineage: Eukaryota; Metazoa; Arthropoda; Insecta; Lepidoptera; Crambidae
Description: partial large subunit ribosomal RNA
Source: RNAcentral